CAGUAGUUUGUUAGGGAGGGGCAGUUCCACCAUACAUGGAGCAUUGUGCCUUUGUGUUGUUGGCAUCUCCAACAGAGAUCGGAGGCUUGUGGGUAUGUUGCUUUUAUACGUGUAGGCACUAAGUACCACCAAUAUAGGAUUUUUCGGGAUAGUUCCAUGUGGGAGGCGCAUUUGGAGAGUGAGUUAUGUGCAAGUAGAAUUUUAUUCCAUUGCCGCGCAUCGAGAGUAUAUGUGAAUUCCUUCUCCCAUGCUGCAAUGAACGAUAGUUUUGUGUGCACACACAGUAUAUUAUAAACGGUCCAUGAC
Non-coding RNA from Pelobates cultripes (western spadefoot toad), 306 nucleotides. The record is from the annotation of a GenBank genome assembly. Lineage: Eukaryota; Metazoa; Chordata; Amphibia; Anura; Pelobatidae.